GCCUACGGGAGGCAGCAGUGAGGAAUAUUGGUCAAUGGUCGGGAGACUGAACCAGCCAAGCCGCGUGAGGGAGGAAGGUACAGAGUAUCGUAAACCUCUUUUGUCAGGGAACAAAGGCGGGGACGGGUCCCCGGAUGAGUGUAACUGAAGAAAAAGCAUCGGCUAACUCCGUGCCAGCAGCCGCGGGAAUACGGAGGAUGCGAGCGUUAUCCGGCUUUAUUGGGUUUAAAGGGUGCGGAGGCGGGCUGGUAAGUCAGGGGUCAAAGGCCGGGG
This 273-nucleotide ribosomal RNA is filed under the name uncultured bacterium. RNAcentral describes it as "partial 16S ribosomal RNA". It matches the Rfam family "Bacterial small subunit ribosomal RNA", at positions 337 to 607 of the family's 1533-position model. The record is from RNAcentral.